UACGGGGGGGGCAAGCGUUGUUCGGAAUUACUGGGCGUAAAGGGCUCGUAGGUGGCCAACUAAGUCAGACGUGAAAUCCCUCGGCUUAACCGGGGAACUGCGUCUGAUACUGGAUGGCUUGAGUUUGGGAGAGGGAUGCGGAAUUCCAGAUGUAGCGGUGAAAUGCGUAGAUAUCUGGAGGAACACCGGUGGCGAAGGCGGCAUCCUGGACCAACACUGACACUGAGGAGCGAAAGCCAGGGGAGCAAACGGG
This 253-nucleotide ribosomal RNA is filed under the name uncultured bacterium. Its description in RNAcentral is "partial 16S ribosomal RNA". It matches the Rfam family "Bacterial small subunit ribosomal RNA", at positions 524 to 776 of the family's 1533-position model. The record is from RNAcentral.